UUUUUUUUUUUUUUUGCAUUUUUCUUUUUUUUUUUUCUUUUUUAAUUCUGAAACAUAUCAAGGACCAGUGGGGGGGGGGCGCAGCGGCGAGUGGGGGGCUCUGGCCCACCAGCGUCAGGUUUAAAAUCCCAUGGAGUGGGUGCUGCCGCCGAGGCGAUGGCAGUGACCCCCAUCCCCAGCCCCGCCGCCACCGCGGCGCUCCCCCCCAUCUCCUGCGCCCCCAAGGAGGAGGAUCAAACAAGACAGGAGGUCCCACUUCUUCUGGGAGAGAGAGGCCAUGUUCUGCCCGGAUCAGGGACCCUUUCCCCCCCGGGACCGUGGGGCAGUUUGGGGGCAGAAGCAGAAGGAUGGGAUCCCCCACCCCCAGACCCCCGAGCAAGUGAGUUUUUCCUCUUUGUACAAGAGCGGAUCUGCCGAUGCUUUCAACACUGUUUAUUCAAACGGAAGCAGCCGGGUGGCUUUCCCACCUCUGCGUAUGUAGAUAUAUCGACUUUGUAUUAAAGGAAGAUCGUCUGACCCCGGCCGGUGGUGGAGUGUUUGUCGUGCCUCCGUCCGUCCUGCCCCGUCCCUGGGACAGGAGGGCGCCCGGAGAGCUGGUGUGUUCUCAUCCCGUCGCGUAAGCGGUCCGGGAAGGAAGGUGGCCCAGAGACGUGGUGAUGGGUGCCCGAGAUCGCACAGCACCUCGGGGCCGUCGUGGGCGCGGAGCCCACAUCCUGCAGGGGGGCUGCCUCACGUUCUCGGUCAUAAGAGUGACCCCGCGGGGCGUCGGUGGUGGCCCAGUCUGCAGAUAAGGAAGCCAGGGCUCAUAGAGGGGCAGACGCCACCCCACAGUUGCAGGGUGUAUGGGAGUGGAGCUGGGGAUCGCGCUCGGGCCAGUCUCCUCCCCGGCCGCCACGUAGCGCGCCGUGCUGCCUUCCCCAGAGGGGUCAGCGCUGGAGCCGGUGACCUGCCCGCGCCAUGGGCCACCCCGGGAAUGGGUCCACAUGCCGAGCCCGGCAGGCGCUGGGGCGUCCUCGUCGGAGUCUGCUCCUCCCCGGGCACGGGGGCUGGGUGUGGGUCGAGCCAUCCCUCCCAGGGUCACGCGCAAGCUCCAGAGGCAAGAACGGGCGGUCUUGGCGAGGGCAGGGUCCCAGCCUAGGCGGGUGGGGCCACCCGCUUGAGAAGCCAUCAGAUCCAGGAGUCCGUGGAUAUGAAACAUGGGACCGGUACCACGAAUCAGCUUAGGCCCAUAGACUGAUCAGGUCCCACGUCCCCCACCUGCAGAAUUCUCGACACACAGAAGAACACUCAACACAGGUGAGCUGUCGCGGUCUCCACAAGUCCCAAGAAACAAAUACUGGGGAAGAGAACCAGACCUUGGCCUCCAGGAGUGGAUUCUGAGAUAAAGCCAGCCCUCCCCCGGGAAGAGCCUCUGGUGGGAAAUUUUUUUUUUUUUUGGUGGGAAAUUUUUAAAGCAUGUUUCUAAACAAGGCACAGGUUAAAGAAGGAGCCACAUACAAAUCACGGAGCCAUUGAAAUGGAGCCCAUCAGUGAGCACGUCGCACGGUGAAAAGGGGGUACCCAGCGGAACGUGCGCAGCCUCGGACGCACUGGAACCGAGUGAGCUCCAGGAAGAAACGGACCAAGCUUUGCAUUCAGAUAAUGAGAACAGACCAGAAUAAGUCGAAAUAAGAUAAAAGUUGGAUUGGAUUUAACUGGGGAUGGUUUUGAGGUUAUUAUUUUGUGUUAACGAAAUGAAAAACUUUUUGAAAACACCGGAAGUAGAUAAGCCAUAGGUUAAGUGCAAUCAAGAAAAGGGGUGCCUGUGGGGUGGGGAGGGCUCGGUUGGUGAAGCCUCUGCCUUCUGCUCAGUUCAUCAUCCUGGGGCCUGGGAUCGAGUCCCACAUCAAAGAGUCUGCUAACCCCCUCUCCUCCAGGCCCAUGCUCUCUCGCUGUCUUUCUCUCAAAUAAAUAAGUAAAAUCUUUAAGGGCACCUGGGUGGCUCAGUGGUUAAGCGUCUGCCUUUGGCUCAGGGCAUGACCCCAGGGUCCUGGGAUCGAGUGAGUCCCACAUCAGGCUCCCUGCAUGGAGCCUGCUUCUCCCUCUGCCUGUGUCUCUGCCUCUCUCUCUCUCUCUCUCUGUGUGUGUGUCUCAUGAACAAAUAAUAUCUUUUUAAAAAAACUUAAAAAGAAUUCUGAUGACAAGUAGGGGGGUUGGGAUCCUCUUAGAUUAUGGGACAAAAGGGACAAAAUAGAUUCUACCCCAAGCCUGGUCUUCCCUGAGUCGUCCAGGACUUGACCAAGAGAGAACCCAGAGAACCUCUCUGCCCCGAGAACCCAGCCCUCAAAGCCCCUCUAAGGGAGCAUCUCCUCUUUCCCUUCUUCGGUCUCCUGAGCCACUGAGACCGAAGUAUCUAAAUAGGGUCUACCUUCCACUCCCUACUGGAAACCAGACAAGGGGGUGGAGAUCUUCAGGAAAAGUGAACGUGUGUGGCCCUCUGCUCUGGGGUUCAGCCCUUGAGAUGCUCAUGCCGAUGGCUGGUGGUGGGCGAUGGCAGGUAGGGAUGGAUGUGAAGACCUCUUGGAAACUGAGGAUCCCAAGGAAUUGCCUCAACCCACGGAUAUGACCAGUGAGACAGCAUCUCCAGUGGCCUCAACCCUGCCACAGGACAUACCGUCACAUCCAUCCCCAUUCAUGGAGUAGUUGCUGUAUGAUAGGCGCCUGCGGUCUCAUGUAAUCCUUACAGCAAUGCAUCGGUGGGCAGAUAAGGAGACGGAGGCCCAGACAAGUCCAGUGCCUCACCCAGGAUCACAGUACGCGGUGGAGCCUGGACAGGGAGCCGAGUCUGCCCACUUCCCACAGCCACCGUGCAGAUGUUCCAGACACCUGCGUCCCACCUGCCUGAGGCCAGCCUCACCCACGUGUGGCAGCGCCAAGCUGGAAGGGACAAAGCCUGGAGCACAGCCCAUCACCAAGGACUUGUCAGGGGACCAGAGCACCCCGAUGCUCUGGGGGGUGCCAUACACACACUGUCCUCAACAACAUCAUAUUAAAAUGUCUAAGGGAAAAACGCCCCUGAGAAGAAAUGGAUCAAACCACAGCAGAGCAGGAGACUGCAUCUAACUCGGGAUGCAAAGACCAAGCUGACCAAACAAUCGGGAUCUUGAGAUGAUUAAUGCCGUUGCAAAGGCAUCAAGUCAACAUGUAUGGGACUUUGUAGCCAACAAACAAGGUACAUUCUGUCCAAACGCUUGGAACCAUCACAAGACCAGACCAUGUGUUAGGCCAUAAAGCUGAGCCCAACAUUCAGACUCCACUCACCAGCCCCAAUGCAAUAAUAUUCUACAUCAGUGUUGCCCAUGUUCCUCGAGUCCACGGAGUCGAAAGGGUUUAAAUAGGAGUGAAAGGUAAAUCAUAUUUACCAAGUAAAGUCCAAGAUAUUUAGGGCUGGAGGACGAAACCAUUGCAAAUGAAAACCAGAAAUGUGCUCAGAGGUCAAUUUCAAAUUUUAAAUGCAUUUAUGGAGGAGGGAGAUCACCGAAUGUAAACGAAAUAAGCGGCCAAAGAGGGACUCAGAGGCAAACACGUAGCCUUUAUAUAAAUUUAUGAAGUAAGGAAA
RNAcentral lists this long non-coding RNA (3598 nucleotides) under Canis lupus familiaris (dog). Its description in RNAcentral is "lncRNA (ENSCAFG00000053240.1)". Lineage: Eukaryota; Metazoa; Chordata; Mammalia; Carnivora; Canidae. The record is from RNAcentral.